GAUAAUUUUGGAACUAAAAAAAUAAUGGAGAGGUGUAGGGAGUGCUUGGGGUGGUAGAGGAUGUAGGAUAAUUUUGGAAUUAAAGAAGUGUAGGGAGUGUUUGGGGUGGUGGAGAGAGUAACCUCCUCAUUCUUAUUAUUAAUUUUGGGUCUCUACAAUUUUGAUUUCAAAUCUUCCAGUAGGGUGUUGUUCCCUUCACCACCACCUUUGCUCCCUCCACCUCCCCAAUUUUUUGCAAAAUUUUUUUAAUUACAAAAAUAACCUUUUUUUAUCUUUUUUUUUUACUUUUAAUCUUAUUCAAUUACUUUAAUAUGAAUAAUGUUGUUUCCUCCACCGUACAAGUGUUUCUUACACCUUCCCAAAUUAUUUUUUAUUUCAAAAUUACCUUUGUUUACUUUUAAUAUUUACUUUUAUAUCAAAACCCUAAUUACCUUGCACCUCUCUCUCAUUUUCACUCACAGACAGUCCCAACCCCACCUCCUACUCUUACUUUCUUUAUUUCUCUCCAUAUACUUUUCUUCUCUACCAUUCUCCAUUACUCCAUGCAUAUAUAUCACACAUAACUUCUCUCUCAUACUUUCCUUUUUUUUCCUUUCUCUUUUACCAAAUACUCAUCUUAUCCUUCCCUCCUUCGUUACCAACCAAAAGAAAACUCCCUGCCAUUAAUUUUCCAAACACUUUACACACUCCUCUCUGUACUGUUGUCCAUUCUCAAACCAUCAACUCUUUUAUCUUCAUUUAAUCACCCACUUUUUCCUAUUCUCACACAUUAUUUUUCUAUUUUCCUUUCUCCUCACCAACAACGUUCAAAACAACACUCACUUUCCUCUUUCUAUUCUCUUUAUAGUAUCAAAACUCAUUUUCCUUUUAAACUUGAAACCCCACCAUUCCACUGUUACCAUUUUCUUUUCUCUUCCUCUUACAAAAUCUCAUGUACCACACUCACUACUCUCUUCUCCCUUUUUCUAUUUUCUUCUUUUCUCCUUUCUCUUCCUUUUUAAAUAGCCCAUCAUCCUCUUCCUCGACAUUCACAUUUAUGUACGGUAACAAUUCCUCAUCCUUUAGCUCCCAUAGGUUUUUCCACUGCCCCUCAUUCUUCUUUUCAUUUUACUCACUCUAUUUUCAUCACUUCAACUACUUCCUUCCACUCUACAUGAUAUAUCCUAUUUUCACAUUAUCUCCUCUUUGACUCAACACAUACACCAUCACGCCUUCCUUCUCUUAUUUCUUUGUUGUGAUAUGUGCCUGUGUUUUUGCAAAUGAAAAAGAUAAUUGCAACUCAAUGGAUAUGGAACAUCCGACUACGAAUAUCAUAUUCGUUCAAGG
Molecule: long non-coding RNA, 1326 nt
Filed under: Vigna radiata
Lineage: Eukaryota; Viridiplantae; Streptophyta; Magnoliopsida; Fabales; Fabaceae
Description: long non-coding RNA (VRAD_LNC014900)
Source: RNAcentral